RNAcentral lists this ribosomal RNA (253 nucleotides) under uncultured bacterium. RNAcentral's name for it is "partial 16S ribosomal RNA". It matches the Rfam family "Bacterial small subunit ribosomal RNA", at positions 524 to 776 of the family's 1533-position model. The record is from RNAcentral.
UACGAAGGGGGCUAGCGUUGUUCGGAAUUACUGGGCGUAAAGCGCACGUAGGCGGAUAUUUAAGUCAGGGGUGAAAUCCUGGAGCUCAACUCCAGAACUGCCUUUGAUACUGGCGAUCUUGAGUCCGGAAGAGGUGAGUGGAACUCCUAGUGUAGAGGUGGAAUUCGUAGAUAUUAGGAAGAACACCAGUGGCGAAGGCGGCUCACUGGUCCGGUACUGACGCUGAGGUGCGAAAGCGUGGGGAGCAAACAGG